UCUGCGAAAGUGGAGCUAAUACCGGAUAGUCUGGCUUUAAAUAAGAAGUCGGUAAAGGAUGCCUCUGCAUAUGCAUUCGUCCGAGGAUGAGCCCGCGUCUCAUUAGCUAGUUGGUAGGGUAAUGGCCUACCAAGGCAACGAUGAGUAGCUGGUCUGAGAGGAUGAUCAGCCACACUGGAACUGAAACACGGUCCAGACUCCUACGGGAGGCAGCAGUGGGGAAUAUUGCGCAAUGGGCGAAAGCCUGACGCAGCAACGCCGUGUGAGGGAUGAAGGCUUUCGGGUCGUAAACCUCUGUCGGAAGGGAAGAACGGGCAUUGGUCUAAUAGGCCUUUGUUUUGACGGUACCUUUAGAGGAAGCACCGGCUAACUCCGUGCCAGCAGCCGCGGUAAUACGGAGGGUGCAAGCGUUAUUCGGAAUUACUGGGCGUAAAGCGCACGUAGGCGGCCUUGUAAGUCAGGGGUGAAAUCCCACGGCUCAACCGUGGAACUGCCUUUGAAACUGCAGGGCUUGAAUCCUGGAGAGGGUGGCGGAAUUCCUGGUGUAGGAGUGAAAUCCGUAGAUAUCAGGAGGAACACCGGUGGCGAAGGCGGCCACCUGGACAGGUAUUGACGCUGAGGUGCGAAAGUGUGGGGAGCAAACAGGAUUAGAUACCCUGGUAGUCCACACCGUAAACGAU
Molecule: ribosomal RNA, 680 nt
Filed under: Desulfomicrobium sp. PR7_E08
Lineage: Bacteria; Pseudomonadati; Thermodesulfobacteriota; Desulfovibrionia; Desulfovibrionales; Desulfomicrobiaceae
Description: bacterial SSU rRNA
Rfam family: Bacterial small subunit ribosomal RNA
Source: RNAcentral